GUACCGCCUGCUCAAUGCAUUUUGUAAAUUGCCGCGGUAUUUUGACCGUGCAAAGGUAGCAUAAUCAUUUGUCUCUUAAUUAGAGGCUGGUAUGAAUGGCGAGACGAGAAAGUUACUGUCUCUAGUGUAGUAAUUGAAUUUCAUUUUUAAGUGAAAAAGCUUAAAUUUUUUUGAAGGACGAUCAGACCCUAUAGAGCUUUAAUGUUAUCGUAAAUAUAAUUAACGGUAAGUUAUUUACUUACGUACACAUUUUUGUUGGGGCGACAAAGAGUUUUGAGUAACACUCUUUUAAGUAAACACAUAUUAGUGGAUAAUUGACCCCUUAGGAGGGGUUACAAGACUAAGUUACCUUAGGGAUAACAGCGUAAUUUUUUUGGAGAGUUCUUAUCGAUAAAAGAGUUUGCGACCUCGAUGUUGGAUUAAGAGAUUAGCAGGGUGCAGAAGCUUUGCAGGAAAGUCUGUUCGACUUUUAAAUUCUUACA
RNAcentral lists this ribosomal RNA (482 nucleotides) under Leptodora kindtii. RNAcentral describes it as "partial 16S ribosomal RNA". It matches the Rfam family "Bacterial large subunit ribosomal RNA", at positions 1852 to 2600 of the family's 2925-position model. The record is from RNAcentral. Lineage: Eukaryota; Metazoa; Arthropoda; Branchiopoda; Diplostraca; Leptodoridae.